AUCUUUCUAGUAUUAAAGAAAGUAUAAGUGACUUCCAAUCACCUGGUCUUGGUUUAAACCCAAGGAAAGAUA
This 72-nucleotide transfer RNA is filed under the name Girella leonina. RNAcentral's name for it is "tRNA-Gly". It matches the Rfam family "tRNA". Rfam says of the family: Transfer RNA (tRNA) molecules are approximately 80 nucleotides in length. The record is from RNAcentral. RNAcentral also lists the same sequence under 1 other name. Lineage: Eukaryota; Metazoa; Chordata; Actinopteri; Centrarchiformes; Girellidae.